AAAUUCGUGCACAAGCCUAGGUUUAUUGCCGCAUACAUUUGAAGGUUUCAAUGUCUAAUACAGGUAAAUCCCUAAAUUCAACAAAUUCUCACGCAAAAACAAAUUUAAUAUUAUUUCCCGCGAUACAUUCAACAUUUUCCAAAGCCAAAUUAAAAACCUAAACAAUGCAGUGAUUUAGGGAGAAGGAAUUAAAAGAAAGAAGGCAAGAAUGGUAAAUAGAUAGAAACCUUAAGGUCGAUGUUAGAGCGUU
This 250-nucleotide unclassified non-coding RNA is filed under the name Hevea brasiliensis (rubber tree). The record is from RNAcentral. Lineage: Eukaryota; Viridiplantae; Streptophyta; Magnoliopsida; Malpighiales; Euphorbiaceae.